GCUGAUCUCAAGUUGGAGCUUUAUGCAGUAAUGAAGUCAUCUCUGAGAGCUAAGCACUCCACUGCCCAAGCUGAGACUUCCACUGCCUGGACGUUUUUGGCUUGUCAGCAUCUGGUCCAUCCCACUCUGUGACUGCUUGAGGUGGCCACGUCUCACUCUGGGGCUGUCACAGGCUAGGCCAAGCUAAGUCACAUGGUACGGAACUUCCUCAUACUCCUUUGCAAAUCGGAGUCAAAAGCCCCUCGGUGUGUGGGAUUUGAGGCUCUUUUCUUCGGACUCCCUGCCACAUGGCGGCUGUCUCACAGAUCCUCUGGGCUUUGAAGACUCUCUCCCUUCAGGAAAGCAUCGCGCUGUCUGGUGUGAAGCUCUUCAGAGCUCUCCAGCCUCAAGUCUCCAGCAUGCCCCGCCCCAUCUCCAAAAUCUCUCUUCUAAUAAAGCCUGAUCUGAAUGG
This 451-nucleotide long non-coding RNA is filed under the name Mus caroli (Ryukyu mouse). Its description in RNAcentral is "lncRNA (MGP_CAROLIEiJ_G0006536.1)". Lineage: Eukaryota; Metazoa; Chordata; Mammalia; Rodentia; Muridae. The record is from RNAcentral.